CAGGCGCANGAUAGGCAUGCAAGUCGAACGAGAAAAUUUAAAUUGAUCCUUCGGGUGAUUUUUAAAUUGGAAAGUGGCAAAAGGGUGAGUAAUGCAUGGGUAAUCUGCCUUUAAGUGGGGAAUAACUUCGUGAAAACGGAGCUAAUACCGCAUGAGACCACAGUUACUUAGGUAACAGAGGUCAAAGAGGGCCUCUAUUUAUAAGCUCUUGCUUAAAGAUGAGCCCAUGUCCUAUUAGUUUGUUGGUAAGGUAAUGGCUUACCAAGGCUAUGAUGGGUAGCCGGCCUGAGAGGGUGACCGGCCACACUGGGACUGAGACACUGCCCAGACUCCUACGGGAGGCUGCAGUCGAGAAUCUUUCGCAAUGGACGCAAGUCUGACGAAGCGAUGCCGCGUGAGUGACGACGGCUUUCGGGUUGUAAAACUCUGUCACAAGGGACGAAGUGCGUAAAGAUUAAUACUCUUUAUGUUUGACGGUACCUUGAGAGGAAGCCCCGGCUAACUCCGUGCCAGCAGCCGCGGUAAUACGGAGGGGGCAAGCGUUGUUCGGAUUUACUGGGCGUAAAGGGCGUGUAGGUGGUUUUAUAAGUUGGAUGUGAAAUCCCUCAGCUUAACUGAGGAACUGCAUUCAAAACUGUUUGACUAGAGUGCGAACGGGGAAAGUGGAAUUCCUGGUGUAGCGGUGAAAUGUGUAGAUAUCAGGAGGAACACCGGUGGCGAAGGCGGCUUUCUAGUUCGAUACUGACACUGAGGCGCGAAAGCUAGGGGAGCAAACAGGAUUAGAUACCCUGGUAGUCCUAGCCGUAAACGAUGAAUACUAGGUGUAAGAAGGAUACUUCUUGUGCCGUAG
RNAcentral lists this ribosomal RNA (850 nucleotides) under uncultured bacterium. RNAcentral's name for it is "bacterial SSU rRNA". It matches the Rfam family "Bacterial small subunit ribosomal RNA", at positions 40 to 851 of the family's 1533-position model. The record is from RNAcentral.